Molecule: ribosomal RNA, 254 nt
Filed under: uncultured bacterium
Lineage: Bacteria
Description: partial small subunit ribosomal RNA
Rfam family: Bacterial small subunit ribosomal RNA
Source: RNAcentral
AGGACGAACGCUGGCGGCGUGCUUAACACAUGCAAGUCGAGCGGAAAGGCCCUUCGGGGUACUCGAGCGGCGAACGGGUGAGUAACACGUGAGCAACCUGCCCUCAGCUCUGGGAUAGCUCCCGGAAACGGGAAUUAAUACCGGAUAUGACCCUGACCGACAUCUGUCAGGGUGGAAAGGUUUACCGGCUGAGGAUGGACUCGCGGCCUAUCAGCUAGUUGGUGGGGUAACGCCUACCAAGGCGACGACGGGUA